CAAUAGCGUAUAUUAAAGUUGUUGCGGUUAAAAAGCUCGUAGUUGGAUUUCUGUUGAGGGACGUCGGUCCGCACUAUGUGCGUGUAUCUGACUGUGCCUCGGCAUCCUCUCGAAUAUCGGUCUGCGCUUCAUUGCGUGGGUCGGACUUCGGGACUUUUACUUUGAGGAAAUUAGAGUGUUCACGGCAGGCAAGCGCCCUGAAUAUAUUAGCAUGGAAUAAUGAUAUAGGAUCUUGGUCCUAUUUUGUUGGUUUCUAGGGCUAAGAUAAUGAUUAAUAGGGACAAUUGGGGGCAUUCGUAUUAACGCGUCAGAGGUGGAAUUCUUGGAUUGCGUUACGACGAACUACUGCGAAAGCAUUUGCCAAGGAUGUUUUCAUUGA
This 379-nucleotide ribosomal RNA is filed under the name uncultured eukaryote. Its description in RNAcentral is "partial 18S ribosomal RNA". It matches the Rfam family "Eukaryotic small subunit ribosomal RNA", at positions 592 to 976 of the family's 1831-position model. The record is from RNAcentral.